Lycium barbarum (goji berry) is the source of this 2004-nucleotide long non-coding RNA. RefSeq lists it as uncharacterized. The transcript is spliced from 6 exons. The record is from RefSeq and is a predicted model, not a curated record. NCBI's taxonomy places the organism in Eukaryota, Viridiplantae, Streptophyta, Magnoliopsida, Solanales, Solanaceae.
GAAGACAGGGUUUGUAACUCUCACUACAACAAAAUAUGCUUUUAGCGGCAUAUAUUUUACGGCAAUAACUUUAUUGCCGCUAAUUGUAUUCUAGAAUCAUUUAUUAUGGGCAAUAGCAAACUUUAGCUAGUAAGCUAAUAUAUUUUGUUGGGGCUAUUACUAUAUUUGUACAUAUUCUUUUACUAUAUUUUCACAUAUUCUGUUAGGAAAAAAAAAGUUGCCUCGAAACUCCAAAAGAUUAGUUCAUUUACCUCCAAUUAUUUUUAUUCUCUGAAAUUCAAAUAGACGAUCUCUGUCUUUAUAACGCUCUCUCUUCUCUACCGUCCCCUCUCUUUCUCUCUUUCUGCUCUGUAUUUCAAAAUCAAUAAUCGCCAUGGCUUCUGUAAGUUAAGCUCAAAAUUUUAAGUUGAGAAAAUAGGACUUUGAUUGCUGUUUUAUAUGACACAAUUUAUCAUUUACUGGAAAUGAUGGAUAUCCUACAAUCCGAAAUUUUACUUCUCAGAAUCAUGCAUAGAUUUCCUUCGCUAUUCACCAUUAGUAGCCGAGAUGUGCCAAAAUUUUGAGUUCAUGGAGACCAAGAGAAGCCACCAUUGAUAACUUAUCCAGAUUGGGCUCUAAAUCGUAAGUGAGAGUUUGUGUUUCAAAGUGAACUUGUUUGAUUUGUUUCAAAGAAGAUACUCGAGCUCACUCAUAGUAAAUUUCCUUUCCUAUUACAUCAUUUUUCGACAUUUUGCUAGCUGGAACUGUUAGUUAAUUUAUAUCUGUGAUAGAUCUAUGGCCAUGUUGGAGUUGGACUUAUGAUGUUUCAUCAGCUUAGUGGUAUCAAUGGAAUCUGUUUCUACACCGGUAGAAUAUAUGAUAGAUCUAUGGCCAUGUGGGAGUUGGACUUAUGAUGUUUCAUCAGCUUAGUGGUAUCAAUGGAAUCUGUUUCUACACCGGUAGAAUAUUUGAGUCCUCAGGGUCGGAGUUUUUUUCUGCGAAAAUCAAAUGAUCACUCCACCGGCUAGGGAUGGAGCCCGUUAUGAUUACCUCAUCAAUUUCCUCUUGAUCAGCGGCAGUGGUAAGAUUUUUUUAUAAGUUUCGUGGUCUGUAGUCCUACAAUCUUGGUGUAUAAAUAUGACGCUAUCAUACUCCUUAGUUCUAAGUAAAUAUGUCAGUUGUUCACACGUCAAAGAAUGUCAAUUUAGUCUUGCCCUUUUCAAAGUUUAAACGCAUCAUAAUUUACUACAAAUUUCAGGUUUUGCAACUGUGACGUUUGGCAUAGGACUCAGUAAGAGUUGUUACUCCAAUUACAUAAGCCCCCUAGAGAAACUGUAAUAUUGAUUCUUAAUAAUGAAUUUUUGUGGAAUGCCAAUGACGAGUUCAUGGUGCUUAAUCUUUAGUACGAAAUCUUUGCAUGACCUAAAUUUUGAUGUACUUCGCCAGUGGAUUGAUUGCUUUCUUCAUUUCUUGUGCACACUAUCUGCGGUUGUUAACUGUUUUUUAGGUCUUGGUUACUAUCUCAUUUGGCUAUUUUUAUGGAGUACGAGGAGCCAAAGGUGGAGAACUUUUUGCUAGAAUAGCACUGCUGCAGAUUUUGUGAAAGAUGAGGCUAUAGAUGGAAUAGAGGAUACACGUGCAAAAGCUUACAUGUUAACUCGUACAAAACGUAAGGAUGGUAGACCAUUGGAUGCGGAUUCUUCAAAUACAGUUCAUGUUUUCAUACAGAUAUCGAAUAAAGUUUGCUCUAUUAAAGAUCCUCCAGAUAUUACACAUGAUCGUGAUCCAACCUGUCAUAGUUUCUCUAGGAAAAGAAAUAAUGGCUCAUUUCCUUGUUUUUCCAUUGUUGGAACACAUUCUUAUUGUUUUGAUAAUUCAUACUUUUGUAUACCACAAGAACACAAGAGGUGUAUGUAUUGAGUUUGAUUGUUCUUGUUUUAAAUGAAUGACAUUUUGAGUUUGGUAAUUCUUCUAUUACUACCUUCAAAUUUAUUUCUCUUGUGAUUUUUGUUGUUGAUGCUAUAA